GACGGACGCUGGCGGCGUGCCUAAUACAUGCAAGUAGAACGCACAGUUUAUACCGUAGCUUGCUACACCAUAGACUGUGAGUUGCGAACGGGUGAGUAACGCGUAGGUAACCUGCCUGGUAGCGGGGGAUAACUAUUGGAAACGAUAGCUAAUACCGCAUAAUAUUAAUUAUUGCAUGAUAAUUAAUUGAAAGGUGCAAUUGCACCACUACCAGAUGGACCUGCGUUGUAUUAGCUAGUAGGUGAGGUAACGGCGCACCUAGGCGACGAUACAUAGCCGACCUGAGAGGGUGAUCGGCCACACUGGGACUGAGACACGGCCCAGACUCCUACGGGAGGCAGCAGUAGGGAAUCUUCGGCAAUGGACGAAAGUCUGACCGAGCAACGCCGCGUGAGUGAAGAAGGUUUUCGGAUCGUAAAGCUCUGUUGUAAGAGAAGAACGGGUGUGAGAGUGGAAAGUUCACACUGUGACGGUAUCUUACCAGAAAGGGACGGCUAACUACGUG
Molecule: ribosomal RNA, 505 nt
Filed under: uncultured bacterium
Lineage: Bacteria
Description: partial 16S ribosomal RNA
Rfam family: Bacterial small subunit ribosomal RNA
Source: RNAcentral